Molecule: ribosomal RNA, 449 nt
Filed under: uncultured bacterium
Lineage: Bacteria
Description: bacterial SSU rRNA
Rfam family: Bacterial small subunit ribosomal RNA
Source: RNAcentral
UGGGGAAUCUUGCGCAAUGCGCGAAAGCGUGACGCAGCAACGCCGCGUGAGGGAAGACGGCCUUCGGGUUGUAAACCUCUUUCAGUUGGGACGAAGCCACGACGGUUAAUACCCGUCUGUGGUGACGGUACCUUCAGAAGAAGCCCCGGCUAACUACGUGCCAGCAGCCGCGGUAAUACGUAGGGGGCAAGCGUUGUCCGGAAUCAUUGGGCGUAAAGCGCGUGUAGGCGGCUUGGUAAGUCCGCUCUGAAAGCCCGGGGCUCAACCCCGGGAGGCGGGUGGAUACUGUCAAGCUCGAGUCCGGAAGAGGCGAGUGGAAUUCCUGGUGUAGCGGUGAAAUGCGCAGAUAUCAGGAGGAACACCAAUGGCGAAGGCAGCUCGCUGGGACGUGACUGACGCUGAGACGCGAAAGCGUGGGGAGCAAACAGGAUUAGAUACCCCCGUAGUCC